UACAGAGGUCUCAAGCGUUGUUCGGAUUCAUUGGGCGUAAAGGGCGCGUAGGUGGCGUGAUAAGGGUGUGGUGAAAGCCCGGGGCUCAACCCCGGGUCUGCCAUGCCGACUGUCAGGCUCGAGUGCUGUAGGGGCAGGCGGAAUUCCGGGUGUAGCGGUGGAAUGCGCAGAUAUCAGGAGGAACACCGGUGGCGAAGGCGGAUCUCUGGGCCUUACCUGACGCUCAGGUGCGAAAGCUAGGGGAGCGAACAGG
This 253-nucleotide ribosomal RNA is filed under the name uncultured bacterium. RNAcentral describes it as "partial 16S ribosomal RNA". It matches the Rfam family "Bacterial small subunit ribosomal RNA", at positions 524 to 776 of the family's 1533-position model. The record is from RNAcentral.